UUGAACGCUGGCGGCAUGCCUUACACAUGCAAGUCGAACGGCAGCACGGGUGCUUGCACCUGGUGGCGAGUGGCGAACGGGUGAGUAAUACAUCGGAACAUGUCCUGUAGUGGGGGAUAGCCCGGCGAAAGCCGGAUUAAUACCGCAUACGAUCUACGGAUGAAAGCGGGGGACCUUCGGGCUUCGCGCUAUAGGGUUGGCCGAUGGCUGAUUAGCUAGUUGGUGGGGUAAAGGCCUACCAAGGCGACGAUCAGUAGCUGGUCUGAGAGGACGACCAGCCACACUGGGACUGAGACACGGCCCAGACUCCUACGGGAGGCAGCAGUGGGGAAUUUUGGACAAUGGGCGAAAGCCUGAUCCAGCAAUGCCGCGUGUGUGAAGAAGGCCUUCGGGUUGUAAAGCACUUUUGUCCGGAAAGAAAUCCUUGGCCCUAAUACGGUCGGGGGAUGACGGUACCGGAAGAAUAAGCACCGGCUAACUACGUG
RNAcentral lists this ribosomal RNA (485 nucleotides) under uncultured bacterium. RNAcentral's name for it is "partial 16S ribosomal RNA". It matches the Rfam family "Bacterial small subunit ribosomal RNA", at positions 30 to 507 of the family's 1533-position model. The record is from RNAcentral.